ACAACAAAAAUAACAAGACACAUCUGAUAACAAGAACAAGACAACGGCUCUAGCAUAAGAAAGACAAAAACGCAGAGACGCAGCUAACUGAUUUCUUUGGAGAGGACCGCCCUCGGGCUUGUACCGCAACCGGGUCGAGAACAAUAAAACUGCUUUGCAAGGCAGCGACAGACGGGUUGGAUCUACGGAUCACGGCAACAUCAGCGUCCAAACAAAUCCGUUCGCUCUUGGCCUCGCUUGGAGGCCUUGGCUAAAACAAGAACAACAGGCCAGUAGUACUAAUAAGAACGACGAUACGAACAAGACUUGGGGGAGCUUCGGCUCCCCCUUCUGCUUUCUGGCGUUUAUGCCGACUUC
This 357-nucleotide small RNA is filed under the name Pseudomonas fulva 12-X. RNAcentral's name for it is "Pseudomonas sRNA CrcZ". It matches the Rfam family "Pseudomonas sRNA CrcZ". Lineage: Bacteria; Pseudomonadati; Pseudomonadota; Gammaproteobacteria; Pseudomonadales; Pseudomonadaceae. The record is from Rfam by way of RNAcentral.